UGGGAAUUUACUCUUAUAACAGUAACAACCAUUAAAUGUUUUAUAACACUUACAUAACAAACUAAUCAACAAUUUCUAACAAAUAAUAAUGUAUAAUGCUGAUUAAUGGGAAACUUAAAAUGUUAAUUAAGUAGUAACUAUUUUAGCGACUAACAUGCAAGACUGUCACUGUAUAGUACACAUAGAAAACUUAACACACCUUGGGUAAAUAAGUGACUUAAAUAAUUAGUUUAAUGCUGUCAUGUGGUAAUGGUAUUUCAUUGUUUAUUUUAUACAAAACUUGCCAGGAAAAGUCCUGAGUGUGAUAAAUAUGUUACACAGAUCAUGACUGACCCCACAGGAUCCAUAGAGGAUCAAUAUAUAGCUAACUAUAUAACUUAUCAUAUUUGUGUUUGCAAAAUAUAAGAUUUAUAUUUACAAAUAUCAAAAUAUAUUUAAUUCUUUCAAGUAUUCCUUGAUUCAAUUUUGUCUAAGUCAUGUAUGUGAUUCAUUCUGAAUCAUUAGAACAGCUGCAGUAGUUGCGUAGGAAAUAAUCUGGAUAAUUUAUAAGUGUUAAUUUAUAAUAUGGAAAAUAAAGAUUCAGUCUUUCAUUGUUAUUAAAAUUGUGACAAAUAGUUAUCCAAUUCCAAAGUUUUAUCAUAGAUGAUGCAGAUCUAUAUGUAAAAACACACAUACAUUUGUAUACUUAACAAACAAAGCCAUCACUUGAUCAUCAAAACAGACAUUUUAUACAACAAACAUUUAAA
RNAcentral lists this long non-coding RNA (746 nucleotides) under Mytilus galloprovincialis (Mediterranean mussel). Lineage: Eukaryota; Metazoa; Mollusca; Bivalvia; Mytilida; Mytilidae. The record is from RNAcentral.